GACGAACGCUGGCGGCGUGCUUAACACAUGCAAGUCGAACGGAAAGGCCCUGCUCUUGUGGGGUGCUCGAGUGGCGAACGGGUGAGUAACACGUGAGUAACCUGCCCUUGACUUUGGGAUAACUUCAGGAAACUGGGGCUAAUACCCGAUAGGAGCUCCUGCUGCAUGGUGGGGGUUGGAAAGUUUCGGCGGUUGGGGAUGGACUCGCGGCUUAUCAGCUUGUUGGUGGGGUAGUGGCUUACCAAGGCUUUGACGGGUAGCCGGCAUGAGAGGGUGACCGGCCACAUGGGGACUGAGAGACGGCCCAGACUCCUACGGGAGGCAGCAGUGGGGAAUAUGGCACAAUGGGCGGAAGCCUGAUGCAGCAACGCCGCGUGCGGGAUGACGGGCUUCGGGGUGUAAACCGCUUUCGCCUGUGACGAAGCGUGAGUGACGGUAAUUGGUAAAGAAGCACCGGCUAACUACGUG
RNAcentral lists this ribosomal RNA (468 nucleotides) under uncultured bacterium. RNAcentral's name for it is "partial 16S ribosomal RNA". It matches the Rfam family "Bacterial small subunit ribosomal RNA", at positions 28 to 507 of the family's 1533-position model. The record is from RNAcentral.